Gossypium raimondii (Peruvian cotton) is the source of this 789-nucleotide long non-coding RNA. RefSeq lists it as uncharacterized. The transcript has 2 exons. The record is from RefSeq and is a predicted model, not a curated record. Lineage: Eukaryota; Viridiplantae; Streptophyta; Magnoliopsida; Malvales; Malvaceae.
AAGAAAUAAAGAAAAUCAAGUCUGAUGUCUGGCUAUCAUCAUCCCCGAAAAUCAUUGCAUAUGUAAAGGUCUAAACUCUAUAACUAAAGAGCGGUCCCGAAAUCAAUCUGCUCGACAAACCCAAACUUCAUUUAAAAAAUUGAUGUUAUAUUAUUGGACUAGUUUCCAGGAAUCCAAACCCCAACCUUCAUUUUCUUUCACUUCCCCUAUCCCAUAUUUUUAGCUGAAUCCAUCCCUGUUUCUAAACCCUUCAAUUUGUUAUCUACAAUUUUCCAAAAGGUAAAAUACACGAUUAUAAUUGUAGGAGAUUGAAAACAUAAUGAGUCGAAGAACCAACACUCCAAAAGUGGAAUUAAAGCUCAAGUUAUCACCAACUAGGUCGGCUAACCAACCAGUUAUUGUGUCGCCAAACACAUCAGUUUCUUCGUCACCCGGAAGCUCAUGUGUGUCUUCGGAGCCGACCGAUGACUCGACGACGAUGAUGCCAUAUCCCAGUAGCCCUGAAGGAAUGUCGAUGGUGCUGGUGGGAUGUCCUCGAUGUCUCAUGUAUGUUAUGCUAUCGGAAGUGGAUCCUAAGUGCCCCAAAUGCAAGAGCACCGUCUUGCUUGAUCUUUUUAGCCAACACAACGCCAAAAAGGCAAGCAACUGAAAGGAAAAAAAAAGGUAGGUCUACAAUUCCUCUAUAUUUAUCUAGGUUUUUCUUUCUUUCUUGCCAUAGAACAGUUUGCUUAGUUUAAUUUAAGGUUUUAUAAUAAAAUCAUUAUCUGUAUUUUGUUUUGAGGACCAUAA